ACCCUCGUGGCUCAGCGGACAGAGCGCCCGUCUCCGAAGUGGGAGGCCGCCGGUUCGAAUCCGGCCGAGGGUA
RNAcentral lists this transfer RNA (73 nucleotides) under Thermomonospora cellulosilytica. It matches the Rfam family "tRNA". From Rfam's summary of the family: Transfer RNA (tRNA) molecules are approximately 80 nucleotides in length. Their secondary structure includes four short double-helical elements and three loops (D, anti-codon, and T loops). The record is from Rfam by way of RNAcentral. Lineage: Bacteria; Bacillati; Actinomycetota; Actinomycetes; Streptosporangiales; Thermomonosporaceae.